GGAGAGGUGGCUGAGUGGUCGAAAGCGGCAGAUUGCUAAUCUGUUGAAGUGUUUAGGCGCUUCCGAGGGUUCGAAUCCCUCCCUCUCCG
The sequence is a transfer RNA, 89 nucleotides long. It matches the Rfam family "tRNA". From Rfam's summary of the family: Transfer RNA (tRNA) molecules are approximately 80 nucleotides in length. The record is from Rfam.